Molecule: long non-coding RNA, 393 nt
Filed under: Phoenix dactylifera (date palm)
Lineage: Eukaryota; Viridiplantae; Streptophyta; Magnoliopsida; Arecales; Arecaceae
Description: long non-coding RNA (PDAC_LNC002311)
Source: RNAcentral
CCUCUUCAUAUUGCUUAGUAAUUUAUAUCACUGUUUCUUGAAAGGUAAUUUGCAUAAUAGGUCUCCCAAAAAUAAGGGUUCGAUGUAACGGGUAUCAGGGAGAGAAUAUUAUUUAGUUUUAGUCAUACAUUGAAUUAUCUUAAGCAUGCUCAAAUUCUAUAUGUUUCUUUUCGACCCUCCUUUAGCACGACCAUCUAUUUUGAUCCCUUAAAUGGAGGAAUAUUUAGCCUGAGAUAUUUUUCUUUUUUAAUAUGCCUCACCUCUGCUUCUAGAACUCCUAUUGGUUGAAAAGAAAUUGUGCUAAAAUUCCUCUAUGUGAGCCUUAUGCAACAUAGAUAUUUAAAAAUCCUAUUAAUGAAGGAAGAAACAAGUGAGCAUUGAGUAAAUACUUGA